AUUGAACGCUGGCGGCAUGCCUUACACAUGCAAGUCGAACGGCAGCACGGGUGCUUGCCCCUGGUGGCGAGUGGCGAACGGGUGAGUAAUACAUCGGAACAUGUCCUGUAGUGGGGGAUAGCCCGGCGAAAGCCGGAUUAAUACCGCAUACGAUCUACGGAUGAAAGCGGGGGACCUUCGGGCCUCGCGCUAUAGGGUUGGCCGAUGGCUGAUUAGCUAGUUGGUGGGGUAAAGGCCUACCAAGGCGACGAUCAGUAGCUGGUCUGAGAGGACGACCAGCCACACUGGGACUGAGACACGCCCCAGACUCCUACGGGAGGCAGCAGUGUGGAAUUUUGGACAAUGGGCGAAAGCCUGAUCCAGCAAUGCCGCGUGUGUGAAGAAGGCCUUCGGGUUGUAAAGCACUUUUGUCCGGAAAGAAAUCCUUGGCCCUAAUACGGUCGGGGGAUGACGGUACCGGAAGAAUAAGCACCGGCUAACUACGUG
This 486-nucleotide ribosomal RNA is filed under the name uncultured bacterium. Its description in RNAcentral is "partial 16S ribosomal RNA". It matches the Rfam family "Bacterial small subunit ribosomal RNA", at positions 30 to 507 of the family's 1533-position model. The record is from RNAcentral.